Molecule: ribosomal RNA, 254 nt
Filed under: uncultured bacterium
Lineage: Bacteria
Description: partial 16S ribosomal RNA
Rfam family: Bacterial small subunit ribosomal RNA
Source: RNAcentral
UACGUAGGGUGCAAGCGUUGUCCGGAAUUAUUGGGCGUAAAGAGCUUGUAGGCGGUUUGUCGCGUCUGCUGUGAAAUUUCGGGGCUCAACCCCGAACUUGCAGUGGGUACGGGCAGACUAGAGUGUGGUAGGGGGAGACUGGAAUUCCUGGUGUAGCGGUGAAAUGCGCAGAUAUCAGGAGGAACACCGAUGGCGAAGGCAGGUCUCUGGGCCACUACUGACGCUGAGAAGCGAAAGCAUGGGGAGCGAACAGG